AGUGAACGCUGGCGGUAGGCCUAACACAUGCAAGUCGAACGGCAGCACAGUAAGAGCUUGCUCUUACGGGUGGCGAGUGGCGGACGGGUGAGGAAUACAUCGGAAUCUACUUUUUCGUGGGGGAUAACGUAGGGAAACUUACGCUAAUACCGCAUACGACCUACGGGUGAAAGCAGGGGAUCUUCGGACCUUGCGCGAUUGAAUGAGCCGAUGUCGGAUUAGCUAGUGGGCGGGGUAAAGGCCCACCAAGGCGACGAUCCGUAGCUGGUCUGAGAGGAUGAUCGGCCACACUGGAACUGAGACACGGUCCGGACUCCUACGGGAGCCGGCGUUGGGGAAUAUUCGACAAUGGGCGCAGGCCUGAUCCAGCCAUACCGCGUGGGUGAAGAAGGCUUUCGGUUUGUAAAGUCUGUUUGUUGGGAAAGAAAAGCAGCAGGUUAAUACCCCGCUGUUCUGACGGUACCCAAAUAAUAAGCACCGGCUAACUUCGUG
This 492-nucleotide ribosomal RNA is filed under the name uncultured bacterium. Its description in RNAcentral is "partial 16S ribosomal RNA". It matches the Rfam family "Bacterial small subunit ribosomal RNA", at positions 29 to 507 of the family's 1533-position model. The record is from RNAcentral.